Molecule: long non-coding RNA, 676 nt
Organism: Gasterosteus aculeatus aculeatus (three-spined stickleback)
Lineage: Eukaryota; Metazoa; Chordata; Actinopteri; Perciformes; Gasterosteidae
Source: Ensembl
GAGAAGAAAAAAAUAUAGUAAGAGAGGAAGUGGGAGCUAUGGUGAGGCAGUUCAAACAACAGACAGGCAUUUAAGAAGGCAGCGGUUGCCAUGCGACAGCGCCAUACAGAGAGGUGAUGGCUGUGGUAAUGCUACCUGGCAUGCUGUUCAGUGAUUUAAUAAGCUCGCCCAGGCCAGCCAUAAAUCAUCAUCAGGCCAAGUUCUUGAAGCUUAAAGGAGAAACGCGGACAAAUACUAGAACCAGAGCAGACAUCUCUGUCCAAUCAAAUGAGGGCCCAACGUGGGUGUGACCUUUUCUCUUGGGGUGCCUUUUAUGGCUGCCAAGCUGCAUGGGACAGGGUGCCACAAAUGGGCAAGCUGUGCAGUUUUUAUCUGUACCAACAACAGAUAUUGAAUGGGAAUGGACACAGGAACAUUUUAUGGGCGAAAGGUUCAGGAUCAAGCAGUUAGGGCCGUUUGAAAGGAGUCAGGAAGAUUGGAUCCCCGCAACAGUUUUGCCAGACAGUUUGGAGAUCAGGGGAGAACGCGAGUCAGAUGACAGUGACAGUGAGUCUGUGGAUCAAGAUGAGGAUGAAGAUAUUAGAGUGUCCCCGCCGAGUGGAGGAAGGUGAUCUGCAUAUUGUCGCGUAACAGGAUGUCCCCUAUAGGGCAGGCUAGCAAGAGAGCUGAAAAACAG